RNAcentral lists this transfer RNA (65 nucleotides) under Eysarcoris montivagus. Its description in RNAcentral is "tRNA-Leu". Lineage: Eukaryota; Metazoa; Arthropoda; Insecta; Hemiptera; Pentatomidae. The record is from RNAcentral.
ACUAUUUUGGCAGAUUAAUGCUUUAAAUUUAGAAUUUAAUUAUGUAAUGUUUAUUACAAAUAGUA